UGAGCAUCUCAAUAAUUGUAUUUCUGUGUAUGGAACGAAAGAAAAGGGUCAUGUCAAAUUAAAAUAAACCGGUUUCGUCAAUGUUGUUACUACACAAUCACCCGGUUUCGUCUAUAUAUAUCACCCGGUUUUUUUUGUUUUUUUUAACAAACAAUUUAUGAAAAGAAACUUUGGCACGGAUCUGAACAUUGUCUUUCGAGAAUUUAAAUAUAUAUUUAUUGUAAAGUAAACUUGGCGUGUUAAAAUCUAUUUUAAACGGGCACUUUUGGACAUAGUUAAUUAUGAUAAUACACAUUUUCCUAAUGAAAGGCGUAUCCCUUAUUUCACUUAACUUCAAACUAAUUUUAAAUGGAAUAUAAAUACUGAAUAG
Molecule: long non-coding RNA, 370 nt
Filed under: Mytilus galloprovincialis (Mediterranean mussel)
Lineage: Eukaryota; Metazoa; Mollusca; Bivalvia; Mytilida; Mytilidae
Source: RNAcentral